This is a non-coding RNA of Pelobates cultripes (western spadefoot toad), 220 nucleotides long. The record is from the annotation of a GenBank genome assembly. Lineage: Eukaryota; Metazoa; Chordata; Amphibia; Anura; Pelobatidae.
CCCCAAGCCUCCACAUCUGCCACAAUUGGGCAGAGCUCAAAAAGAGCCAAUGUGGUCGAAAAACCUUGUAUAUAAUUGUCUGUGGUUGGCCAAUUUCCCCAGAGCCACUCGUCACAAAAAAUUCCAUUUAAGGAGAAAUUUCUGCCACAUAAUAAAAUCUACAGUAGCGUGUGUAUCUAAUGUGAUUCGGCGACUUUCAUUAUGGAGACCAGGAAAUAGG